CCUCAGUCUUACAAAAGCUGGGUCACUGUCGUUCUUCUGUGUGUCGAUGACAGAGUCUGUAGACACCAAAACAAAAGCUGCUUAAGGGAACGUCUGAGUUUCUGACUGCCAGGGUGAACAACAGCUGCCUUUCUGAUAUGCUGGACCACAGACAGCCCCAGUGAGCCGAGUCCUCAGUCACCAGCAUGCAGAAGAGAACAAACCCUCUCUCACACUCCAUAAUCUGAGAAUCAUUCCUGGAACUGAAAGGCAAAUGUUGGAUGAGAGCAGAGGACAGACAGAAAGG
Molecule: long non-coding RNA, 286 nt
Organism: Etheostoma cragini (Arkansas darter)
Lineage: Eukaryota; Metazoa; Chordata; Actinopteri; Perciformes; Percidae
Exons: 3
Source: RefSeq, a predicted model, not a curated record